This 72-nucleotide transfer RNA is filed under the name Ovis aries (sheep). It matches the Rfam family "tRNA". Rfam says of the family: Transfer RNA (tRNA) molecules are approximately 80 nucleotides in length. Their secondary structure includes four short double-helical elements and three loops (D, anti-codon, and T loops). Further hydrogen bonds mediate the characteristic L-shaped molecular structure. tRNAs have two regions of fundamental functional importance: the anti-codon, which is responsible for specific mRNA codon recognition, and the 3' end, to which the tRNAs corresponding amino acid is attached (by aminoacyl-tRNA synthetases). tRNAs cope with the degeneracy of the genetic code in two manners: having more than one tRNA (with a specific anti-codon) for a particular amino acid; and 'wobble' base-pairing, i.e. permitting non-standard base-pairing at the 3rd anti-codon position. The record is from Rfam by way of RNAcentral. Lineage: Eukaryota; Metazoa; Chordata; Mammalia; Artiodactyla; Bovidae.
UCCCUGAUGGUUCAGUUGGCGAAGAAUCUGCCUGCAAUGCAGGAGACCCAGGUUCAAUCCCUGGGUUGGGAA